AAGUCGUAACAAGGUUUCCGUAGGUGAACCUGCGGAAGGAUCAUUAGCGAAGUUCGGAAUGCAUGUUCGGUGUUGAUGCUGCCCAGCAAUGGGAUGUGCUCGCUCGGAUGUGUGUCCCUUCUCUAUCCACCCCACUGUGAACCAAGUGUGUGAGCCGAAGAGAAAUCGGACGCUCGCAUGCAAACCUUUAACAUACCCCAAUGAAGUAUCAGAAUGUACCUUGCGUUAACUCGCACAAAUAUAACUUUCAACAACGGAUCUCUUGGCUCUC
Molecule: unclassified non-coding RNA, 271 nt
Filed under: Peniophora albobadia
Lineage: Eukaryota; Fungi; Basidiomycota; Agaricomycetes; Russulales; Peniophoraceae
Description: partial internal transcribed spacer region
Rfam family: Eukaryotic small subunit ribosomal RNA (bases 1-46)
Source: RNAcentral